UCCUUCGGGAGGCAGCAGUGGGGAAUAUUGGACAAUGGGGGGAACCCUGAUCCAGCGACGCCGCGUGAGUGAAGAAGUAUUUCGGUAUGUAAAGCUCUAUCAGCAGGGAAGAAAAUGACGGUACCUGACUAAGAAGCCCCGGCUAACUACGUGCCAGCAGCAGCGGUAAUCCGUAUGGAGCAAGCGUUAUCCGGAUUUACUGGGCGUAAAGGGAGCGUAGGCGGCCUGCCAAGUCUGAUGUGAAAUACCGGGGCUCAACCCCG
This 263-nucleotide ribosomal RNA is filed under the name uncultured bacterium. RNAcentral's name for it is "partial 16S ribosomal RNA". It matches the Rfam family "Bacterial small subunit ribosomal RNA", at positions 337 to 617 of the family's 1533-position model. The record is from RNAcentral.